AUUGAACGCUGGCGGCAGGCCUAACACAUGCAAGUCGAGCGAGCGGCGGACGGGGGAGUAAUGUAUGGGGACUGCCCGAUAGAGGGGGAUAACUACUGGAAACGGUGGCUAAUACCGCAUACUAUCGGAUCACCCAUAUGGGAUUGGCUAGUAGGUGGGGUAAAGGCUCACCUAGGCGACGAUCUCUAGCUGGUCUGAGAGGAUGGUCAGCUUACCUGGGACUUGGGCACGGGCCAGACUCCUUGGGAGGCGGCCGUGGGGAAUAUUGCAAAAUGGGCAAAAGUCUGGCGGAGCAACGCCGCGUGAGUGAUGACGGCCUUCGGGUUGUAAAACUCGUUGAUCGGGGCGACGGUACCAGAAUAGAAAGCCACGGCUAACUCCGUGCCAGCAGCCGCGGUAAUAC
This 403-nucleotide ribosomal RNA is filed under the name uncultured bacterium. RNAcentral describes it as "partial 16S ribosomal RNA". It matches the Rfam family "Bacterial small subunit ribosomal RNA", at positions 30 to 526 of the family's 1533-position model. The record is from RNAcentral.